CGGGACGGGUGAGUAACGCGUGGGCAACCUGCCCCAUACAGGGGGAUAACGGCUAGAAAUGGCCGCUAAUACCGCAUAAGCGCACAGCAGCGCAUGCUGCAGUGUGAAAAGCCCUGGCAGUAUGGGAUGGGCCCGCGUCCGAUUAGCUGGUUGGUGGGGUAACGGCCCACCAAGGCGACGAUCGGUAGCCGACCUGAGAGGGUGACCGGCCACAUUGGGACUGAGACACGGCCCAAACUCCUACGGAAGGCAGCAG
Molecule: ribosomal RNA, 256 nt
Filed under: uncultured bacterium
Lineage: Bacteria
Description: partial 16S ribosomal RNA
Rfam family: Bacterial small subunit ribosomal RNA
Source: RNAcentral